This 468-nucleotide ribosomal RNA is filed under the name uncultured Anaerolineaceae bacterium. RNAcentral describes it as "bacterial SSU rRNA". It matches the Rfam family "Bacterial small subunit ribosomal RNA", at positions 897 to 1382 of the family's 1533-position model. The record is from RNAcentral. Lineage: Bacteria; Bacillati; Chloroflexota; Anaerolineae; Anaerolineales; Anaerolineaceae.
AAACUCAAAGGAAUUGAGGGACCCGCACAAGCAGCGGAGCGUGUGGUUUAAUUCGUUGCUACACGAAGAACCUUACCUGGGUUUGACAUAUAGGUUGUAGGGAACUGAAAGGGACCGACCCUUCGGGGAGCCUAUACAGGUGUUGCAUGGCUGUCGUCAGCUCGUGUCGUGAGAUGUUCGGUUAAGUCCGCUAACGAGCGCAACCCUCGUCGUAUGUUAUAUGUGUCAUACGAGACUGCCGGUAAAAGCCGGAGGAAGGUGAGGAUGAUGUCAAGUCAGCAUGACCUUUAUAUCCAGGGCUACACACACGCUACAAUGGUCUGUACAAUGGGUAGCCAAGCCGCGAGGCGGAGCCAAUCCUGAAAGCAGGCCUCAGUUCAGAUUGCAGUCUGCAACUCGACUGCAUGAAGCCGGAGUUGCUAGUAACCGCAGGUCAGCAAUACUGCGGUGAAUACGUUCCCGGGCCUU